RNAcentral lists this ribosomal RNA (246 nucleotides) under Olea europaea subsp. europaea. Its description in RNAcentral is "Bacterial small subunit ribosomal RNA". It matches the Rfam family "Bacterial small subunit ribosomal RNA", at positions 107 to 394 of the family's 1533-position model. Lineage: Eukaryota; Viridiplantae; Streptophyta; Magnoliopsida; Lamiales; Oleaceae. The record is from Rfam by way of RNAcentral.
UGUGUUACACUCAUUUGCUGCGUGGUUUCCACCACCGGCAACCCAUUUACCGAUCCCUACCACAUGUGUAACAUACACUUAUUGUAUUAUCUGAUUUGCCACGUUAUAGGUAAUAGCCUACCAAGGCAAUGAUUAGUAGUUGGUUCAAGAGGAUGAUAAGUCACAUUGGGAUUGAGAAACCGCCCAGACUCCUGUGGGAGGCAACGGUGGAGAAUAUUCGUAAUGAAGGAAAGCCUGACGAAGCAA